GAUGAACGCUGGCGGCGUGCCUAAUACAUGCAAGUCGAGCGAACAGAUGAGAAGCUUGCUUCUCUGAUGUUAGCGGCGGACGGGUGAGUAACACGUGGGUAACCUACCUAUAAGACUGGGAUAACUCCGGGAAACCGGGGCUAAUACCGGAUAAUAUUUUGAACCGCAUGGUUCAAUAGUGAAAGACGGUUUCGGCUGUCACUUAUAGAUGGACCCGCGCCGUAUUAGCUAGUUGGUAAGGUAACGGCUUACCAAGGCGACGAUACGUAGCCGACCUGAGAGGGUGACCGGCCACACUGGAACUGAGACACGGUCCAGACUCCUACGGGAGGCAGCAGUAGGGAAUCUUCCGCAAUGGGCGAAAGCCUGACGGAGCAACGCCGCGUGAGUGAUGAAGGUCUUCGGAUCGUAAAACUCUGUUGUUAGGGAAGAACAAAUCUGUUAGUAACUGAACAAGUCUUGACGGUGCCUAACCAGAAAGCCACGGCUAACUACGUGCCAGCCGCCGCGGUAA
Molecule: ribosomal RNA, 514 nt
Filed under: uncultured bacterium
Lineage: Bacteria
Description: partial 16S ribosomal RNA
Rfam family: Bacterial small subunit ribosomal RNA
Source: RNAcentral